This is a long non-coding RNA of Pectinophora gossypiella (pink bollworm), 585 nucleotides long. RefSeq lists it as uncharacterized. Lineage: Eukaryota; Metazoa; Arthropoda; Insecta; Lepidoptera; Gelechiidae. The transcript has 2 exons. The record is from RefSeq and is a predicted model, not a curated record.
CAUUUGUACAAAUAAUUGAUUUCACAUUUUACGUUAAUCAGCUUUGACAGAUCAUGUACCCAAAGUAUUAUAAGUAGUGUUGUCCUUUGAUAUCGAUAACAUAAUAUUAUGUUUGAAUGUAACAUCUACAUGUUGCGUUAUUCUAUUCACGUUUAAUUUAUUUUUCGACCUGUUUCCGAUUUGGAUGAAGAUUACAUAAAGAUAUUGUAUUUUCCAGAUUUCCUAAAUAUCCUAAUUUACGAAACAAGAAAUUAAGAAACAAUUGGAUUCAGACCAUGAAACGAGAUAAUUCUCUCUUCUGAAGGACGCCUUCUCCUUAUUUAAGACUGUGCUAAUUACAUUUCGAUGUAUCUUGCUUUCUAUCGAGCAGGAUACCAAACAAAAAUAUUACAUAGAGAUGCAGUACCAACAAUAUUCACUCACAUAUCUCACAUAAGGUAAAGUUAUAACGACCAGAGCCGACACUAUACACUUCUAAAGAAAGUGAACAAGAGGAUUUUUUUUUUUUAUCACCAAAAGUCGGAAUUGUUCAGUGCUUCGUAGUCAUUGUAUUCUAACUAUAUUGAAUAAAAAUCUUAUAAAGAA